CUUGUAGGCGGUUUGUCGCGUCUGCUGUGAAAAUCCGGGGCUCAACCCCGGACUUGCAGUGGGUACGGGCAGACUAGAGUGUGGUAGGGGAGACUGGAAUUCCUGGUGUAGCGGUGAAAUGCGCAGAUAUCAGGAGGAACACCGAUGGCGAAGGCAGGUCUCUGGGCCACUACUGACGCUGAGAAGCGAAAGCAUGGGGAGCGAACA
Molecule: ribosomal RNA, 207 nt
Filed under: uncultured bacterium
Lineage: Bacteria
Also listed under: 1 other name
Description: partial 16S ribosomal RNA
Rfam family: Bacterial small subunit ribosomal RNA
Source: RNAcentral